GUGCCUUAAUAACAAACUUUUAUUCCAUCUGUAAAUAUGAAUAAAGUUGUUAAAUUACGAGCAUAGUUGGUUUAGGCAAAGAAAAAGACAGGAACUUUUUCGCUAGCCAUGAUUGGCUGAGAUAAUGAGUGGGCUGGACAUGCCGAGAGAUUGGUUUCAGAUUGGUCUGAGGUCUAUCAUCUUGUGUCGAUAAAAUGAGCUGCUCGUUAUGCGUAGAUAAUCCUUUCUACUGCAGUUUUUUUUUAAAGAUAAAACGUUAGCCAUGGAGAACUGCAAAUAUGUUGCUACUGCUCUCAAUAAUAUUGGUGCCCUGAAUUUAUCAGGAGCUAUCGUCAAAGGUCAGUGGGGAAAAAGUUGUGAUGGACUACUUUCUGGAGGACACGAUCAUGCCAUGUUUGUAUUUGUAUUUAUUAUGGAUCCCCAUUAGUUGCUGCCAAAGCAGCAGCUACCCUUCCUGGAGUCCAGCAAAGUUAAGGCAGUUUAUACAAUUUAAAAAACAUUACAAUACAUUCACAGAUUUCACAACACGCUGUGUGCCCUCAGGCCCCUACUCCACCACUACCACAUAUCUACAGUACUAAAUCCAUGUCUAUACAGUGUGUGUGUGUGUGUGUGUGUGUGUGUGUGUGUGUGUGUGCCAUAGGUGUGGACUCAAGUCACAAAUAUGAUGACUUUGACUUUAACACCAAUGACUCGUGACUUAACUUGGACUUGAGCCUUUUGACUCGAACUGACUUGAUACCCUCCCCAAGCCCAAAUAUAAAAAAUGAUGCUAUUAAAAGUGUGCAGCGCAUCAACUCUUCAUUUAACGGAUUACAGUUUGAAUCGGACAGCAGCCAAUCAAAUUGUGCCGGCUGAGAAAAAGUUGCACAUGGCAGUGCAGAGGAACGUCGGCAGAUGAAUUCAGAUGGAGCCCUUGGAAAGAUGAUACCCAAGAUUAUUAUUUUCGGAUAUAAAGACUACGCUGUAUCAACAAAAAGUGUAUUGCAACUUGCAAAACAGGCAGGAAGAAAAUGACAGACGGAGGGGCAACUUCGAACUUUGUUCGACAUUUGAAGCUGCGUAAAGAACGGUAAGUCGUGGCAAAUAUAGCCGAAAUCUAUAUCAAUCAUAACUUUGUAAGUGUAGCAUGUUGGCUAACGUAACGUUAAAUCAAUGAGCCUCCACACAGUCUGUGUGUGUGUGUGUGUUAAGGUUGGGUGAUUGUGUACAAGCCUACAUCGCCCGAUUUGCGAUAGUCGAUCGCUAUCGGGGGAUGUCUUUCUUAUGGCUACCCAUGUAUUUCCAUGGAAAUAUCAAGUUUAUUUGGAAAGUAAUAACAUGAUUUGCGUAAAUUUAAUAUACUAUUACUCUUGUUAAAAAUAUGAAAUGGUAUUACAUUUGGUAUAGAGCACAUUAUGACUUGUUUAGGACUCGAAACUCAAAGUUUAGGACUUGAGACUUGACUUCAGCCUUGACUCUGACUUGCCUGUCUUGACUAGUGACUUGAGUGCUAAGACUUGAGACUUACUCGUGACUUGUAAAACAAUGACUUGGUCCCACCUCUGGUCUGUGCCAAUGGUUGUGUUGCUUCACAGUCCCCGCUGUUCCAUAAGGUGUUUUUUGAAUCUGUUUUUAAAUUUAAUUUUACAGCUUUCUUCAGUUACUUGAUGUGGAAUAGAGUUCCAUCAAUAUGUUUUGACCAUAACAGUUAACAAUCUAGGGUUACUCCAAGCAGUUUAGUCAUCUCAACUUUCUCAAUGUCCACAUUAUUUAUUACAAGAUUUAGUUGAGGUUUAGGGUUUAGUGAGUGUUUUGUUCCAAAUACAAUGCUUUUAGUUUUAGAAAUAUUUAGGGCUAAGUUAUUCCUUGCCACCCACUCUGAAACUAACUGCAGUUCUUUGUUGAGUGUUGCAGUUAUUUCAGUCGCUGUAGUAGCUGACGUGUAUAGUGUUGAGUCAUCCGCAUACAUAGACACUCUGGCUUUACUCAAAGUCAGUGGCAUGUCAUUAGUAAAAAAAAUAAAAAGCAAGGGGACUAAACAGCUACCCUGGGGAAUUCCUGAUUCUACCUGGAUUAUUUUUGAGAGGCUUCCAUUAAAGAACACCCUCUGUGUUCAGUUAGACAAGUAACUCUUUAUCCACAUUAUAGCAGGGGAUGUAAAGCCAUAACACAUAUGUUUUUCCAGCAGCAGACUAUAAUCAAUAAUGUCAAAAGCUGCACUAAAGUCCAGCAUGACAGCCCCCCAAUAAUUUGAUUAUACAUUUUUCUCAGCCAACCAUCAGUAAUUUGUGUAAGUGCUGUGCUUGUUGACUAUGCUUCCCUAUAAGCAUGCUAAUCAAACACAAUUGUAUCUGGUCAAACACAAUUUUUGCAGAAGUUAACUAAGGGUUGGUAAAAGGCUGAUUGGUCAGCUAUUUGAGCCAGUAAAGGGGGCUUUACUAUUCUUGGGUAGCGGAAUGACUUUAGCUUCCCUCCAGGCCUGAGAGCACAGUAGGCUCUAGUAGGCUUAAAUUGAAGAUGUGGCAAAUAGGAGUGGCAAUAUCGCAUAAUACCUGUUGACUCUCUCUGACUCUGAAUAUGAAUCAGACAAUGAGGAGAUUCCUAAUUUAGGUACAAACUUUUUCAUUUAAGAAGACAUUGUAGAGUCUUCUGAUGACGGUGAUGGGGAAGAAACGGAGAUCAACAGUGUUGUUGUUGUCACGGAAAAAGUUGACCGAGUUUUGAAAUCAUUGGAACACAACGGGCCAAACAAGCAGUGCAAACUAAAUGAAAAUGACACAGGAUGUCUUAUUUAAUAAAAGGGGUUGCAGUCUGCUGUGAAGCUUUCAUCCAUGUAUACGGCAUCAGUAGAACACGCCUGACUCUCCUCCACCAGUCAUACAUUGAGAAUGGUCUAAUGCCUCCCAUCAAAAAGAGAGCUGGGCCAAGCAAGCAAAGACAGCAGCGCAGUCAUCAACUGCAUGCACCAUUUCUUUACCAACUACGGAGUUGGGGAAACACGUGUGGACCUGAAUUGUGAUAACUGCAGUGGACAAAACAAGAACAAGGUUGUGCUCUGGUAUUGUGCCUGGCGGACCAUGCACAAGCUCCACCACCGUCUGGACCUUCACUUCCUGAUCAUCCUCCAUCUGUGUCACUUCCUGAUCACAGGCCACACCAAGUUUUCCGCCGACUGGUGCUUCAGCCUCUUCAAGCAGCGCUUCAGAAAUACCAGAGUGAACAGUUUGUCUGAGAUGGUUGGUGUUGUGAAGGACAGCACUGUGACAGGGGUCAACAUCCCACAGCUAGUUGGACUGGAGGAUGCUUUGAUGCUCUGGAGCCUGGCCAAGGAGCGUUCGGACUGUCGGGACCAGGUUUUAGCUGCUGCACAACGCGGACAUCCUUCCUCCCAUAGAUGGUCUGUCUGUACAAGCACCACCUGGACUGGACACAGCUAGGCAAAUGUAUCUUUUUGAGAAGACCAGGGACUUUGUUUUUUUUUGCAACGAAGAGGCUAUGGACAUCACCAAAGACAAGGGCAGGAAAGAAACAGCCUCUCUCCUAACACACAUGCCAUACAUUGCUGCUACUAUUUGUUUUUUAUCCUGCUGCUGAGCCACUUUACCCCUGAUUGUAUGCAUAUAACUACCUCGUCCAUUAUCGAUAUUGUUCUUGUGCAUACUACUGUCCACUAUUUUAGUCAUAUUGACACUUUCUGAUUUUGCUACUAUGCAAAUAACCAUUUGACUGUAUCGUUUACACCUUCUGUAGAGACACAUCCACUUAGUAAGACUUAGCAAAAUAUUGAUAUAGAAAAUCAAUAUUGAUAUCUGUGGUCGUUACAUGAUUUUGUGACAUACCACAACAAUAUCAUGUGACCGUAUCACGUGUCUACCACAUGCAUCUGUUUAUGUACUGUGCAUGUGCACCUCACUCAGGUUUCAACUCAGGUUGCAUGGCUUUAACGUAUGUCAAACCAAAUCACAUUUUAUUGGUCACGUACACAUGGUUAGCAGAUGUUAUUGCGAGUUUAGCGAAAUGCUUAUAAUAUGGAAUACUAUGUGAUAAGUGCGUGUGUAACAGUAUAUAAAGUAUGCUAAUGUACUGGUGUGAAGGCAUUUGGGCAGGGGUGUAAAGUACUUUAAAGUACUAAUUAAGUAUUUUUGGGGGGGUAUCUGUACAUUACUUUACUAUUUAUAUUGUUGGCAACUUUUACUUUUACUUCACUACAUUCCAAAAGAAAAUAAUGUAUACAUUUUCCCUGACACCCAAAAGUACGCGUUACAUUUUGAAUGGAAAAUUGUCCAAUUCACACACUUAUCAAGAUAAGAUAAGAUGCAUCUGAUCUGGCAGACUCACUAAACACAAAUGCUUCGUUUGUAAAUUAUGUUUGAGUGUUGGAUUGUGCCCCUGGC
Long non-coding RNA from Salvelinus fontinalis (brook trout), 4376 nucleotides. RefSeq lists it as uncharacterized. The record is from RefSeq and is a predicted model, not a curated record. Lineage: Eukaryota; Metazoa; Chordata; Actinopteri; Salmoniformes; Salmonidae. The transcript has 3 exons.